CGGCGAACGGGUGAGUAACACGUAACCAACCUACCCUAGAGACUGGAAUAACCACUGGAAACGGUGGGUAAUGCCAGAUGGUCCCCUUGGUCGGCAUCGACUUUGGGGUAAACGGAGGCUUCGGCUUCUGCUCUUUGAGGGGGUUGCGGCCUAUCAGCUUGUUGGUGGGGUAACGGCCUACCGAGGCGAUGACGGGUAGCCGGUCUGAGAGGACGAUCGGUCACACUGGGACUGAGACACUGCCCAGACUCCUACGGGAGGCUGCAGUCGAGAAUCUUCCGCAAUGGGCGAAAGCCUGACGGAGCGACACCGCGUGCAGGAUGAAGGCCCUCGGGUCGUAAACUGCUGUCAAGCCAUAGGAAUCCCGUGUGGUUAAUAGCCCCACGGUUGACCAAAGCGAGAGGAAGCACCGGCUAACUCCGUGCCAGCAGCCGCGGUAAGACGGAGGGUGCGAACGUUGUUCGGAAUCACUGGGCAUAAAGAGCACGUAGGCGGCGAGGCCAGUCAGGUGUGAAAGCCCCCGGCUCAACCGGGGAACUGCAUCUGAUACUGCCUUGCUCGAGGACGGUUGGGGUGAGUGGAACUCCUGGUGGAGCGGUGAAAUGCGUAGAUAUCAGGAGGAACACCAGUGGCGAAAGCGACUCACUGGACCGUUUCUGACGCUGAGGUGCGAAAGCUAGGGUAGCGAACGGGAUUAGAUACCCCGGUAGUCCUAGCCGUAAACGAUGGGCACUAGG
Molecule: ribosomal RNA, 737 nt
Filed under: uncultured Planctomycetota bacterium
Lineage: Bacteria; Pseudomonadati; Planctomycetota
Description: bacterial SSU rRNA
Rfam family: Bacterial small subunit ribosomal RNA
Source: RNAcentral